Molecule: ribosomal RNA, 57 nt
Filed under: Chryseobacterium sp. P1-3
Lineage: Bacteria; Pseudomonadati; Bacteroidota; Flavobacteriia; Flavobacteriales; Weeksellaceae
Description: partial 16S ribosomal RNA
Rfam family: Bacterial small subunit ribosomal RNA (bases 1-51)
Source: RNAcentral
AAGUCGUAACAAGGUAGCCGUACCGGAAGGUGCGGCUGGAACAUCUCAUUUUAGAGC